CAUGUCUUUUUGGGAAUUAUUUAAAGUNUAAUCUGCCCACUGAAUUUUUAAAGGGCCGCAGUAAUUUGACUGUGCAAAGGUAGCAUAAUAAUUUGUCUCUUAAUUGGAGGCUGGAAUGAAUGAUUGGACGAGGUAAAUACUGUCUCAUUAUUAAAAUAAUAAAAAUUUAGUUUUUUAGUCAAAAAGCUAAAAUUUUUUUGGAGGACGAGAAGACCCUAUAGAUCUUUAUAUUAAUAAUUAUAUUUUUAUUUUGGAUAAAAAAUUUUAAGUAUAAUUUUUAGUAUUUUGUUGGGGUGACAUGAAAAUUAAUUUAACUUUUCAUAAAUUUAAACAUGAAUUAAUGAUUAAAUGAUCCAUUUUUAUUGAUUAUAAGAUUAAGUUACCUUAGGGAUAACAGCGUUAUUUUAUUGGAGAGUUCAUAUUGAUAAUAAAGUUUGCGACCUC
RNAcentral lists this ribosomal RNA (444 nucleotides) under Nemopterella africana. Its description in RNAcentral is "partial 16S ribosomal RNA". It matches the Rfam family "Bacterial large subunit ribosomal RNA", at positions 1831 to 2527 of the family's 2925-position model. Lineage: Eukaryota; Metazoa; Arthropoda; Insecta; Neuroptera; Nemopteridae. The record is from RNAcentral.